This 520-nucleotide ribosomal RNA is filed under the name uncultured Glomus. RNAcentral's name for it is "SSU rRNA". It matches the Rfam family "Eukaryotic small subunit ribosomal RNA", at positions 569 to 1091 of the family's 1831-position model. Lineage: Eukaryota; Fungi; Glomeromycota; Glomeromycetes; Glomerales; Glomeraceae. The record is from RNAcentral.
AGCAGCCGCGGUAAUUCCAGCUCCAAUAGCGUAUAUUAAAGUUGUUGCAGUUAAAAAGCUCGUAGUUGAAUUUCGGGGUUAGUAGGUUGGUCAUGCCUCCGGUAUGUACUGAUCUUACUGAUUCCUCCUUCCUUAUGAACCGUAAUGCCAUUAAUUUGGUGUUGCGGGAAAUUUGGACUGUUACUUUGAAAAAAUUAGAGUGUUUAAAGCAAGCUAACGCUUGAAUACAUUAGCAUGGAAUAAUGAAAUAGGACGUUCGAUCUUAUUUUGUUGGUUUCUAGGAUUGACGUAAUGAUUAAUAGGGAUAGUUGGGGGCAUUAGUAUUCAAUUGUCAGAGGUGAAAUUCUUGGAUUUAUUGAAGACUAACUACUGCGAAAGCAUUUGCCAAGGAUGUUUUCAUUAAUCAAGAACGAAAGUUAGGGGAUCGAAGACGAUCAGAUACCGUCGUAGUCUUAACCAUAAACUAUGCCGACUAGGGAUCGGAUGAUGUUAAUUUUUAAUGACUCAUUCGGCGCCUUAC